AAAUGAGAUUGCACCUGCACUCUGAGGAAGCUAAAGGGAGUUUACAGGAUGAUUAGCUCAUGGUCUAGUUGGGACUUCGGGUCCUUGUGAGGAAGUCCUUGGCCUGGACAGAAGAGGGCAUCGGAACCCCCUGGACUGGAGUUGCAGAUGGUUGUGAGCCACCACAUGGGUGCUCGGAGAUGAGCCCAGGUCAUCUUGAAGAGCAGCCAUUGCAUUUAACUGCUGAGUCAUUUUUUGAGUCCUGGGUGUUUUGAGACAGGCAAGGGCACAGAUGAAGACAAUUCCUAAAGGCCUUCUGAGUUUCCUGGAUUGCCACAUGUUCCUUUGUAUUCAUGUGUGCCUCAUGACUUUCAUCAAACGAUGGGAACAGGGGACAGAAAAUGGAGAGAUGAGGCUGGGCUUAGAUUGGGAAUGAUGGAGGCCACGUGACAUCUCCAGAAGCAAGCAGAAUUGUUCCUUUAAUUGGGACAACUAAAGGGCUGCAGGCUCUGCACAGGGGGUGGAGUCUAUGCACUCAGGGUACAGGAGGCUUGGAGAGAUUUACAGGACUUUAAAGGAGACUUUGCUAAUGGAAGAUACCAUCUACCCAUCAGUUCCUGACAGUCUCAAAGUGGAAGGUAUCACUCAAAGACAUGCGUUGAUCCUUUUAUUGGAAGUG
Molecule: long non-coding RNA, 658 nt
Filed under: Mus musculus (house mouse)
Lineage: Eukaryota; Metazoa; Chordata; Mammalia; Rodentia; Muridae
Description: RIKEN cDNA C430039J16 gene
Source: RNAcentral